Molecule: non-coding RNA, 24 nt
Filed under: Mus musculus (house mouse)
Lineage: Eukaryota; Metazoa; Chordata; Mammalia; Rodentia; Muridae
Source: RNAcentral
GAAUAUCCCUUUUGAGCUUGCUUG